UACAGAGGUCUCAAGCGUUGUUCGGAUUCAUUGGGCGUAAAGGGUGCGUAGGUGGCCAGGUAAGUCGGAUGUGAAAUCCCGGGGCUCAACCCCGGAACUGCAUUCGAUACUGCCCGGCUUGAGUACUGGAGAGGAGAUUGGAAUUUACGGUGUAGCAGUGAAAUGCGUAGAUAUCGUAAGGAAGACCAGUGGCGAAGGCGGCUCACUGGCUCAUUUCUGACGCUCAGGCGCGACAGCGUGGGGAUCAAACAGG
Molecule: ribosomal RNA, 253 nt
Filed under: uncultured bacterium
Lineage: Bacteria
Description: partial 16S ribosomal RNA
Rfam family: Bacterial small subunit ribosomal RNA
Source: RNAcentral